CUACGGGUGGCUGCCGUGAGGAAUAUUGCACAAUGGGGGGAACCCUGAUGCAGCAACGCCGCGUGUAGGAUGACGCAUUUCGGUGUGUAAACUCCUUUUAUAUGUCAAGAAAAUGACGGUAGCAUAUGAAUAAGCGCCGGCUAACUCCGUGCCAGCAGCCGCGGUAAUACGGAGGGCGCAAGCGUUACUCGGAAUCACUGGGCGUAAAGGACGCGUAGGCGGGUUGGAAAGUCAGGUGUGAAAUCCUACAGCUUAACUGUAGAACUGCACUUGAAACUUCUAAUCUAGAGUAUGGGAGGGGGAGAUGGAAUUAGUGGUGUAGGGGUAAAAUCCGUAGAUAUCACUAGGAAUACCUAAAGCGAAGGCGAUCUCCUGGAACAUUACUGACGCUAAGGCGUGAAAGCGUGGGGAGCAAACAGGAUUAGAUACCCGCGUAGUC
This 439-nucleotide ribosomal RNA is filed under the name uncultured bacterium. RNAcentral describes it as "partial 16S ribosomal RNA". It matches the Rfam family "Bacterial small subunit ribosomal RNA", at positions 339 to 795 of the family's 1533-position model. The record is from RNAcentral.